This 429-nucleotide ribosomal RNA is filed under the name Fusobacteriota bacterium. Its description in RNAcentral is "Fusobacteria bacterium partial 16S ribosomal RNA". It matches the Rfam family "Bacterial small subunit ribosomal RNA", at positions 355 to 776 of the family's 1533-position model. Lineage: Bacteria; Fusobacteriati; Fusobacteriota. The record is from RNAcentral.
UGGGGAAUCUUCCGCAAUGGACGAAAGUCUGACGGAGCAACGCCGCGUGAGUGAAGACGGCCUUCGGGUUGUAAAGCUCUGUUAUUCGGGAAGAACGAUUCGUUUGUGAACAAUGAACGGAAGUGACGGUACCGAAAGAGAAAGUCACGGCUAACUACGUGCCAGCAGCCGCGGUAAUACGUAGGUGGCAAGCGUUGUCCGGAAUUAUUGGGCGUAAAGAGCGCGUAGGCGGUAUGGUAAGUCUGUCUUAGAAGUGCGGGGCUUAACCCCGUGAGGGGACAGAGACUGUCAUACUGGAGUCUCGGAGAGGAAAGCGGAAUUCCUAGUGUAGCGGUGAAAUGCGUAGAGAUUAGGAAGAACACCGGUGGCGAAGGCGGCUUUCUGGACGAGCACUGACGCUGAGGCGCGAAAGCGUGGGGAGCGAACAGG